Molecule: ribosomal RNA, 478 nt
Filed under: uncultured bacterium
Lineage: Bacteria
Description: partial 16S ribosomal RNA
Rfam family: Bacterial small subunit ribosomal RNA
Source: RNAcentral
GACGAACGCUGGCGGCGUGCUUAACACAUGCAAGUCGAGCGAUGAAGUCUCUUCGGAGAUGGAUUAGCGGCGGACGGGUGAGUAACACGUGGGUAACCUGCCUCAUAGAGGGGAAUAGCCUUUCGAAAGGAAGAUUAAUACCCCAUAAGAUAGUAGUUUCGCAUGAGACAGCAAUUAAAGGAGUAAUCCGCUAUGAGAUGGACCCGCGUCGCAUUAGCUAGUUGGUGAGGUAACGGCUCACCAAGGCGACGAUGCGUAGCCGACCUGAGAGGGUGAUCGGCCACAUUGGGACUGAGACACGGCCCAGACUCCUACGGGAGGCAGCAGUGGGGAAUAUUGCACAAUGGGGGAGACCCUGAUGCAGCAACGCCGCGUGAGUGAUGACGGUCUUCGGAUUGUAAGGCUCUGUCUUCAGGGACGAUAAUGACGGUACCUGAGGAGGAAGCCACGGCUAACUACGUGCCAGCCGCCGCAGUAA